RNAcentral lists this ribosomal RNA (253 nucleotides) under uncultured prokaryote. RNAcentral describes it as "partial 16S ribosomal RNA". It matches the Rfam family "Bacterial small subunit ribosomal RNA", at positions 524 to 776 of the family's 1533-position model. The record is from RNAcentral.
UACAGAGGGUGCGAGCGUUGUCCGGAAUCACUGGGCGUAAAGGGCGCGUAGGUGGCGCUGCAAGUCGGUGGUGAAAGCUCGUCGCUUAACGGCGAGUCGGCCAUCGAAACUGCAGGGCUCGAGCACUGUAGGGGCUCAUGGAAUUCCGGGUGUAGCGGUGGAAUGCGUAGAGAUCCGGAAGAACACCAGUGGCGAAGGCGGUGAGCUGGGCAGUUGCUGACACUGAGGCGCGACAGCGUGGGGAGCAAACAGG